This 253-nucleotide ribosomal RNA is filed under the name uncultured bacterium. Its description in RNAcentral is "partial 16S ribosomal RNA". It matches the Rfam family "Bacterial small subunit ribosomal RNA", at positions 524 to 776 of the family's 1533-position model. The record is from RNAcentral.
CACGUAGGUGGCAAGCGUUGUCCGGAUUUACUGGGUGUAAAGGGCGUGUAGCCGGGUUGACAAGUCAGAUGUGAAAUCCUGCGGCUUAACCGCAGAACUGCAUUUGAAACUGUUGAUCUUGAGUACUGGAGAGGCAGACGGAAUUCCUAGUGUAGCGGUGAAAUGCGUAGAUAUUAGGAGGAACACCAGUGGCGAAGGCGGUCUGCUGGACAGCAACUGACGGUGAGGCGCGAAAGCGUGGGUAGCAAACAGG